Molecule: ribosomal RNA, 51 nt
Filed under: Saprolegnia parasitica
Lineage: Eukaryota; Oomycota; Saprolegniomycetes; Saprolegniales; Saprolegniaceae
Description: partial 28S ribosomal RNA
Source: RNAcentral
UUGGACCUGAUAUCAAACAGGACUACCCGCUGAACUUAAGCAUAUCAAUAA